UACAGAGGGGGCAAGCGUUGUCCGGAUUUACUGGGCGUAAAGAGCGUGUAGGCGGUUUGGUAGGUCCGCUGUGAAAACUCGAGGCUCAACCUCGAGACGCCGGUGGAAACCAUCAGACUAGAGUCCGGAAGAGGAGAGUGGAAUUCCUGGUGUAGCGGUGAAAUGCGCAGAUAUCAGGAAGAACACCCGUGGCUAAGGCGGCUCUCUAGUACGGUACUGACGCUGAGACGCGAAAGCGUGGGGAGCGAACAGG
Molecule: ribosomal RNA, 253 nt
Filed under: uncultured bacterium
Lineage: Bacteria
Description: partial 16S ribosomal RNA
Rfam family: Bacterial small subunit ribosomal RNA
Source: RNAcentral